RNAcentral lists this ribosomal RNA (81 nucleotides) under Caerostris extrusa. Lineage: Eukaryota; Metazoa; Arthropoda; Arachnida; Araneae; Araneidae. The record is from RNAcentral.
CGUUAGAUCACCGAAGUCAAGCAUCAUUGAGCGCCGGUCAGUACUUGGGUGGGUGACCACCUGGGAACACUGCGUGCCGUU